RNAcentral lists this ribosomal RNA (253 nucleotides) under uncultured bacterium. RNAcentral describes it as "partial 16S ribosomal RNA". It matches the Rfam family "Bacterial small subunit ribosomal RNA", at positions 524 to 776 of the family's 1533-position model. The record is from RNAcentral.
UACGAGGGGGGCAAAUGUUGUUCGGAAUCACUGGGCGUAAAGGGAGCGUAGGCGGGCUUCUAGGUUAGAUGUUUAAUCCCGGGGCCCAACCCCGGACAGGCACCUAAAACUGGAAGUCUUGAAUAGUGGAGAGGACGGCGGAAUUGGGGGUGUAGCGGUGGAAUGCAUAGAGAUCCCCAAGAACACCAGUUGCGAAGGCGGCCGUCUGGACACAUAUUGACGCUGAGGCUCGAAAGCAUGGGGAGCAAACAGG